CACGACCUCAGGUUAGGUGAGACUACCCGCUGAAUUUAAGCAUAUUAAUAAGCGGAGGAAAAGAAAAUAAUAGCCUAGACCUGGAA
This 86-nucleotide ribosomal RNA is filed under the name Hycleus chodschenticus. RNAcentral describes it as "partial 28S ribosomal RNA". It matches the Rfam family "Eukaryotic large subunit ribosomal RNA", at positions 1 to 85 of the family's 3401-position model. Lineage: Eukaryota; Metazoa; Arthropoda; Insecta; Coleoptera; Meloidae. The record is from RNAcentral.